GCCGGGUGUGGUGGCGUGCGCCUGUAGUCCAGCUACUUGGGAGGCUGAGACAGGAGAAUUGCUUGAACCUGGGCAGCGGAGGUUGCAGUGAGCCAAGAUUGCGCCACUGCACUCCAGCCUGGGCGACAGAGCAAGAUUCUGUCUCAA
Unclassified non-coding RNA from Pongo abelii (Sumatran orangutan), 147 nucleotides. It matches the Rfam family "Metazoan signal recognition particle RNA". Rfam says of the family: The signal recognition particle (SRP) is a universally conserved ribonucleoprotein. It is involved in the co-translational targeting of proteins to membranes. The eukaryotic SRP consists of a 300-nucleotide 7S RNA and six proteins: SRPs 72, 68, 54, 19, 14, and 9. The record is from Ensembl. Lineage: Eukaryota; Metazoa; Chordata; Mammalia; Primates; Hominidae.